CCUGCUCUCUGGUGAAGUGGUUCUCCCUGACCAAGUUCACAGCUCAAGGAAUGGCAUGGAAGCCCCAUCAGUGGAAUUCACUCUGGAGUCAGCAGGGUAUCUGAUGUCAAAGGCAGUCCUGCCUCUGGAAGGAAGAUGAAUGAGAGGUGUUCUCACCCGUUGUAAAGCUCGCAGUGCAGCGAAGGGAAGUGUGAUGGCCAAGGAUCAUCGCCUAACAGCGUGGUGAAUGCCCCGUUAGUUCUUCCCUGCUGUGAUGUGGGCACACAGAGGCCGGUCCUCCAGUCUGUGCCCCUGAAGAAGUCACAGCUCAGUUGAAUUUUGAAGGCUGAGCACUGAGCAGGGAAAGGGAGAUGCAGAGAAGAAUACGAAAAGGAGAGAGUUUGGUGGGCUGGAGGAUUUCAAGUAAUUCCUGGAGGACGAGACGCUGCAGGGUGAGAAGGGCAGGGAUGAGCAGCAGAGCCUUUUUCAGAUGGUGAAGCUGAGGCUCAGAAAGGAGACACUUGGGCAGGAUGACAUUAGUGAGUGAGAUAACAUGGUCCCAGAUUCUGGGGAUUAGCACACGGGUGUUGUCCGGGACCAUCAUUCUGUCGAGGACAUAAAGGAACAGUUAGAAGCUUUGGGAGGACAAAGAAAGCCACGGUGAAUUCCAGCAAGACGCUUGGGGUCAGAAGGGCAUCACAAAGGAGGCAGCAUUUGGACUGAUCCUGAAGGACAGGUAGGAUUUUCUAGGGCAAGAAGACCAAGGAAAUGAUGACAGAUAAUCGGGUGAGAGUGGACUAUAAGAUCUAAGAAUAUAAAAUACAAGAUCAUGGGAGGGAAGCAGUGGCAAAAGAGGCUACUGGAAUCAUCGAGGCCAAACUGAGGAUCGCCGCCA
Molecule: long non-coding RNA, 874 nt
Organism: Camelus dromedarius (Arabian camel)
Lineage: Eukaryota; Metazoa; Chordata; Mammalia; Artiodactyla; Camelidae
Exons: 3
Source: RefSeq, a predicted model, not a curated record